GAUGAACGCUGGCGGCGUGCCUAAUACAUGCAAGUCGAGCGAACAGAUGAGGAUUUUGCUCCUCUGACGUUAGCGGCGGACGGGUGAGUCACACGUGGAUAACCUACAUAUGAGACUGGGAUAACUUCGGGAAACCGGAUCUAACACCGGAUAAUAUAUUGAACCGCAGGGUUCAUUAGUGAAAGACGGUUUUGAUGUCACUUAUAGAUGGUUCCGGGCCGGAUUAGCUAGUUGGUAAGGUAACGGCCUACCAAGGCAACGAUGCGUAGCCGACCUGAGAGGGUGAUCGGCCACACUGGAACUGAGACACGGUCCAGACUCCUACGGGAGGCAGCAGUGGGGAAUCUUGGACAAUGGGCGAAAGCCUGACGCAGCCACGCCGCGUGUGUGAAGAAGGUCUUCGGAUCGUAAAGCUCUGUUAGUUGGGAAGAACAAAUGUGUAAUUAUAUCUUGAUGUCUUGACGGUACCAACUGAGAAAGCAACGGCUAACUACGUG
RNAcentral lists this ribosomal RNA (497 nucleotides) under uncultured bacterium. Its description in RNAcentral is "partial 16S ribosomal RNA". It matches the Rfam family "Bacterial small subunit ribosomal RNA", at positions 28 to 507 of the family's 1533-position model. The record is from RNAcentral.